This is a long non-coding RNA of Telopea speciosissima, 183 nucleotides long. RefSeq lists it as uncharacterized. NCBI's taxonomy places the organism in Eukaryota, Viridiplantae, Streptophyta, Magnoliopsida, Proteales, Proteaceae. The transcript has 3 exons. The record is from RefSeq and is a predicted model, not a curated record.
UAAGAAAAGGUAGUAGGCAAAAGGAAUUAAUUAGGAAACACAACCUAUAUAGGAGGAAGCUUGAAAGUGAAGGUAAAACAAUUCAAACCAUAAUGUAUCACAUGCAGACCUCUCAAGACAUAGGCACAUAGCUUGAAUUGAUAUCAAUAAACUAAAGAUAAAAUCAUGCAUUAAAAGGUGCAG